UCUGGACAGGAGCCGAACGGUCAUCUUGACUAGUCUUCUCCAUUUUCCGUGCCUUGACCAGAUCUACUCCAAGUUUCCGUCAAAGACUUUAUUUAGUCAAGUCUUUGUUUCAAUUUUCAAUGUCUUGUUUUUAGCACAUUCUUCUUUGGAUUUCUAUAACUUGUAAUCCUAUAAAUAAGGCUUAUGAGCCACGAAAUAAUACAUAUUGUUUUCCCCCUUUUUAUGAGUUUAUCUCUUUGUUCUUUGUUUAGAACACCUCUUAGUUUCUUGGUGAGGUUAUCUCCAAGUUUCGAUCCUUCUUUUGUUAGACCGGUGCGUCACGUCCGGCAACGAUCGAAGUCUGGUAGUAUCAAGAGAUCUUUCCGCAGCCUUUUGUGUCACCAUUCACCCCAUCUAGUUCUCCUUUGGAGUUCAUAUCCAUUCCUUAUCAAUCCAGUUGAGUGAUUGUUUCCUAGGGUUCAUCAUGUGCCCUCUCCAUUCCCCA
RNAcentral lists this long non-coding RNA (484 nucleotides) under Brassica napus (rape). RNAcentral's name for it is "long non-coding RNA (BNAP_LNC026482)". Lineage: Eukaryota; Viridiplantae; Streptophyta; Magnoliopsida; Brassicales; Brassicaceae. The record is from RNAcentral.